RNAcentral lists this ribosomal RNA (235 nucleotides) under uncultured bacterium. RNAcentral describes it as "partial 16S ribosomal RNA". It matches the Rfam family "Bacterial small subunit ribosomal RNA", at positions 118 to 352 of the family's 1533-position model. The record is from RNAcentral.
UGAGCAAUCUGCCCUUCUCUUCGGAAUAAGCGUGGGAAACCGCGUCUAAUGCCGAAUACGACCUCCUUUCGCAUGAUCGGAGGUGGAAAGCUCCGGCGGAGAAGGAUGAGCUCGCGGCCUAUCAGCUAGUUGGUGUGGGUAAUGGCCCACCAAGGCGACGACGGGUAGCCGGCCUGAGGGGGUGACCGGCCACACUGGGACUGAGACACGGCCCAGACCUCCGUACGGGAGCAGC